Molecule: ribosomal RNA, 497 nt
Filed under: uncultured bacterium
Lineage: Bacteria
Description: partial 16S ribosomal RNA
Rfam family: Bacterial small subunit ribosomal RNA
Source: RNAcentral
GAUGAACGCUGGCGGCGUGCCUAAUACAUGCAAGUCGAGCGAACGGACGAGAAGCUUGCUUUUCUGAUGUUGGCGGCGGACGGGUGAGUAACACGUGGAUAACCUACCUAUAAGACUGGGAUAACUUCGGGAAACCGGAGCUAAUACCGGAUAAUAUUUUGAACCGCAUGGUUCAAAAGUGAAAGACGGUCUUGCUGUCACUUAUAGAUGGAUCCGCGCUGCAUUAGCUAGUUGGUAAGGUAAUGGCUUACCAAGGCAACGAUGCAUAGCCGACCUGAGAGGGUGAUCGGCCACACUGGAACUGAGACACGGUCCAGACUCCUACGGGAGGCAGCAGUAGGGAAUCUUCCGCAAUGGGCGAAAGCCUGACGGAGCAACGCCGCGUGAGUGAUGAAGGUCUUCGGAUCGUAAAACUCUGUUAUUAGGGAAGAACAUAUGUGUAAGUAACUGUGCACAUCUUGACGGUACCUAAUCAGAAAGCCACGGCUAACUACGUG